GCUCCCGUAGUUUAAAGGAUAGAAUAUGAGAUUCCGGUUCUCAGGGUAACGGUUCGAUUCCGUUCGGGAGUA
Molecule: transfer RNA, 72 nt
Filed under: Bacteroidales bacterium
Lineage: Bacteria; Pseudomonadati; Bacteroidota; Bacteroidia; Bacteroidales
Description: tRNA-Arg
Rfam family: tRNA
About the family: Transfer RNA (tRNA) molecules are approximately 80 nucleotides in length. Their secondary structure includes four short double-helical elements and three loops (D, anti-codon, and T loops). Further hydrogen bonds mediate the characteristic L-shaped molecular structure. tRNAs have two regions of fundamental functional importance: the anti-codon, which is responsible for specific mRNA codon recognition, and the 3' end, to which the tRNAs corresponding amino acid is attached (by aminoacyl-tRNA synthetases). tRNAs cope with the degeneracy of the genetic code in two manners: having more than one tRNA (with a specific anti-codon) for a particular amino acid; and 'wobble' base-pairing, i.e. permitting non-standard base-pairing at the 3rd anti-codon position.
Source: RNAcentral